CCUACGGGAGGCUGCAGUGGGGAAUAUUGGACAAUGGGCGCAAGCCUGAUCCAGCGACGCCGCGUGAGUGAUGAAGGCCUUCGGGUUGUAAAGCUCUGUUGAGGGAGAAGCGGUAUCCCUUUAGAAAGCACCGGCUAACUCUGUGCCAGCAGCCGCGGUAAGACAGAGGGUGCAAACGUUGCUCGGAAUUACUGGGCGUAAAGCGCGUGUAGGCGGGCUAGUAAGUCGGACGUGAAAUCCCUGAGCUCAACUCAGGAACUGCAUCCGAAACUAUUAGCCUUGAGUGGUGGAGAGGGAAGCAGAAUUCCUGGUGUAGAGGUGAAAUUCGUAGAUAUCAGGAGGAACACCGGUGGCGAAGGCGGCUUCCUGGACACUACUGACGCUGAGACGCGAAAGCGUGGGGAGCAAACAGGAUUAGAUACCCCUGUAGUC
Molecule: ribosomal RNA, 432 nt
Filed under: uncultured bacterium
Lineage: Bacteria
Description: partial 16S ribosomal RNA
Rfam family: Bacterial small subunit ribosomal RNA
Source: RNAcentral